GGGGGUAUGGCUCAGUAGGCAGAGCGUCCGACUUAUAAUCGGAAGGUCUCGGGUUCGAUCCCCGGUGCCUCCA
Non-coding RNA from Lytechinus pictus (painted urchin), 73 nucleotides. The record is from the annotation of a RefSeq genome assembly. NCBI's taxonomy places the organism in Eukaryota, Metazoa, Echinodermata, Echinoidea, Temnopleuroida, Toxopneustidae.